This 496-nucleotide ribosomal RNA is filed under the name Pseudomonas aeruginosa. Its description in RNAcentral is "bacterial SSU rRNA". It matches the Rfam family "Bacterial small subunit ribosomal RNA", at positions 30 to 515 of the family's 1533-position model. Lineage: Bacteria; Pseudomonadati; Pseudomonadota; Gammaproteobacteria; Pseudomonadales; Pseudomonadaceae. The record is from RNAcentral.
UGAACGCUGGCGGCAGGCCUAACACAUGCAGUCGAGCGGAUGAAGGGAGCUUGCUCCUGGAUUCAGCGGCGGACGGGUGAGUAAUGCCUAGGAAUCUGCCUGGUAGUGGGGGAUAACGUCCGGAAACGGGCGCUAAUACCGCAUACGUCCUGAGGGAGAAAGUGGGGGAUCUUCGGACCUCACGCUAUCAGAUGAGCCUAGGUCGGAUUAGCUAGUUGGUGGGGUAAAGGCCUACCAGGCGACGAUCCGUAACUGGUCUGAGAGGAUGAUCAGUCACACUGNGAACUGAGACACGRUCMGGACUCCUACGGGAGGCAGCAAGUGGGGAAUAUUGGNCAAUGGGCGAAAGCCUGAUCCAGCCAUGCCGCGUGUGUUAAGAAGGUCUUUCGGAUUUGUAAAGCACUUUAAGGUUUGGGAGGAAGGGCAGUAAAGUUAAUACCUUUCCUGUUUUUGACGUUUCCAACAAAUAAAGCACCGCUUAACUUCUUGCCACAAC